CCAAGUCACGUAUAAUUUAAGAAACAUGGGUUGAAUGCUCAAAUUAAUAUCAAUACACCAAAGGGAUAGCAAGGGGAUAGUUAAGUCUAACUUUGUUACAUUAUGUCUUGCUUUUAGGAGCUCAAUCCCAACAUUCGCGAUGGUUCAGAUUGCUUCCAUACUCUCCAUAGGUUACAAAGAAUGACAAAAACUGAAUUUUUACAACAAACUCCUAUACUCCAAAGAUUUGGAGUUUGC
Molecule: long non-coding RNA, 237 nt
Filed under: Vitis vinifera (wine grape)
Lineage: Eukaryota; Viridiplantae; Streptophyta; Magnoliopsida; Vitales; Vitaceae
Description: long non-coding RNA (VVIN_LNC000586)
Source: RNAcentral